ACCCAGAUAGUUUAACGAAUAGAAUACAACACUACGAAUGUUGAGGUCAGGGUUUGAUUCCCUGUCUGGGUA
RNAcentral lists this transfer RNA (72 nucleotides) under Caudoviricetes sp. RNAcentral describes it as "tRNA-Arg". It matches the Rfam family "tRNA". Rfam says of the family: Transfer RNA (tRNA) molecules are approximately 80 nucleotides in length. The record is from RNAcentral. Lineage: Duplodnaviria; Heunggongvirae; Uroviricota; Caudoviricetes.